ACAGAUGCUUUUACAGCUCGCCUUGGCGGGAAGAUCUGGCACAAAUGAAGUAUCUAUAAGGAGCAGCAGAGUCAAGGAAGACACCAGACAAAUGAGUUACACUGUUUUGGACUCCCCAACACAACCCAGCCACCGGCUGAAUGCCACCAAAUUACCUUCUAGUUAAAGGUUUAUGGAGCAAACGAAUCACCUAUUCAAUAUCUGCUUGAAUUUCUGACUCAAAAUACAUCAGGUAUAAAAUGAUGGUUUUUUUAAGCCACUAAGUCUUGGGGGAGUUUAUUAUAAAGCAAUAGAUAAUUUUGAAAAUAAAUAGAACAAGCUGAAGUCCCAAUAAGAA
RNAcentral lists this long non-coding RNA (337 nucleotides) under Homo sapiens (human). RNAcentral describes it as "non-protein coding lnc-FTCDNL1-4:67". The record is from RNAcentral. Lineage: Eukaryota; Metazoa; Chordata; Mammalia; Primates; Hominidae.